UCGGCCCUCCACAUGGCUCAAGGUUCUCUUCAUUAUCUUAGGGGACUAGAAAAGCCAUCACCUCCUGAUUUACCUCAACCAACAAGUCUUUACAAAACGUGCAUGUGCCUGGGGCUGACGGGAACAUCUGUCUCAGCACAUUUUCAGUUUAGUCAGGUCCAAUUUUUGAUGCCCGAGACCUUAGGAUUGGGGGAGGGGCGUCACGGGACAAGACCAAGAGGAGUUUGAAUUGGGAAGACAGAAGACAAGAACAUCCUAGAAUGAAUCAGGACAGCUAAGAGCAGAAUUGGCCUGGGAAGAAGGGAAAGGGCAGAGAAGGACAACGAGGGAAGGAAAAUGGGAGGUACGAAAACUCCGGUGGAAGCUGAUAUGGCAUCGGAAAUUAAUUUCAUCAUCUUGAACGUUUUAUCUAGAGUCAACUAUGAAUAGUGUAUGUGGUUAAUAAGCAAACUGAUGCGAAGAUGGACCAUUCUCUUUAAAGUGGAAGGGGCAGGCGGGGGCUCCAAAGCCCCCGUUAGCAUUUAACAAGAGCGAAAGAAAUUGUAUUCUUUGAGCUGCAAAGUCUCUCUGUUAACUGUUUGUGACGUUCUGAGCUCACCUAACAACAAAGGUGGCUUUAUAUCUGUCACUUCCUCCCGCCUUCCUCACAUGGCAUCUCUAAGGUAGCCGCUGCCCCCUCACUUUCACAUAGAAGGAAGCUACGAGGCUCAGAAGUCUUGGGCGAGUGACUUGACUUCUAAAAGUGGCAGCAGAGACAGACUCCAAUCUAAGAAGCCAGGCUCCGGAUUUCCUGGUUCACUAGGGAUCCUCCGUUCAGUCCCUAACCCAGACAUCACAUGGGUAACACUAUGUGAGCGAAAUCGGUUUUCACUGCUUCCGGUGUCCACUGUGGAGCUGGUCUGCAGAUUCCUCCCAGACUCACCUCCUCCGGAACAGCAGAUGCUGGUGAAGACUGAGGAAACCCCCAGGAGGGGAAGAGCUACGUAAGCACGUGAUACAGGUGACAGCCGUGGUCGUUGGCUGGCUGUGAGCGAGCUGUGGAGGCAACCAACGACCUCCACAGACGCAGCACCUGUGAAGUCCUGGGAAUCAGUGAGUACAGCAAACACGGCCUGCUCACAAUCAGUGUUUGGUAGAGUAGGCUGAACGAAAAAGAAUGCAGGGGGUUGGGGAUUUAGCUCAGUGGUAGAGCGCUUGCCUAGGAAGCGCAAGGCCCUGGGUUCGGUCCCCAGCUCCGGAAAAAAAAAAAGAAAGAAAGAAAAAGAAUGCAGACAAUAACUAGGGGGCAAAAGCCAGGCCUACGGCAAAGCCUUCAGUAACGAAGAGGAGUCAACUAGAGGAUCCCAGAGGCCCUUUCAAAAGACUCAGGGGGAAGAAGAGAGGAACAGUGACAAGGAUCCAGAGUAAAAGAAUGGCUAAGAAACUGGUCCUUUGCAUCCCAUGGAAGAAAGGAACAGAAGGAGGGUGGGUUGUAACUU
Non-coding RNA from Rattus norvegicus (Norway rat), 1478 nucleotides. The record is from RefSeq and is a predicted model, not a curated record. NCBI's taxonomy places the organism in Eukaryota, Metazoa, Chordata, Mammalia, Rodentia, Muridae.